UACGUAGGGAGCGAGCGUUGUCCGGAUUUAUUGGGCGUAAAGAGCUCGUAGGCGGCUUGUUGCGUCGACCGUGAAAACCCGGGGCUCAACUUCGGGCUUGCGGUCGAUACGGGCGGGCUAGAGUUCGGUAGGGGAGACUGGAAUUCCUGGUGUAGCGGUGAAAUGCGCAGAUAUCAGGAGGAACACCGGUGGCGAAGGCGGGUCUCUGGGCCGAUACUGACGCUGAGGAGCGAAAGCGUGGGGAUCGAACAGG
Molecule: ribosomal RNA, 253 nt
Filed under: uncultured bacterium
Lineage: Bacteria
Description: partial 16S ribosomal RNA
Rfam family: Bacterial small subunit ribosomal RNA
Source: RNAcentral